ACCAGAGCUCUCGGAGAUCAACAAAGGUGCCGCUUUUGAAUGUGAAAGUUUUUUCAAGACUUUUCUAUUUCUUGGUUUGAAUCGUGUGCCUGUAGGGACACAUGCUACCUGCUUACUGGACAGUGACUACUUAGGAUAAGGACUCAGACACACAAGUGGAGAAGAUAAAUAGUAAUUUGGAACCAAAACUCAGGACGUCCCAGGAGAGGCUAGAUUAGGAAUUCUUUGAUUUGGGAUCACGAAAAUGAAGUAUCCAUAUUUUAACAGAAUGAUUAGUGGCAGAGGAAUCAUCUAAGAAAACUGAGAAGACUCUGCCAGAGUGAUGGGAAGAAAACUAGAUGAGAAAGCACCAUUCUGGAAGACAUGCUCCCAUGAACCAUGGAGAGAAGAGGAGAGGGAAGAAGUUAUUUGUGAUGUCAUUUGCCUGUGUCAUGGCCUGCCUUCCCUAGAUAUUGUCCUAAUGUGAGCAUCACACCUAAGGUACUGAAGUAGAGUUCUGGCUGUUCCUUACGGACAUCUCUGGUGUUGGGAUCCAGAGAACCUUCCCCUUCUGAGCAGCAAAACCAAAUAAAGCAGUUCUCAGGAUACAAAGACAAGACUGAGGAAGAUCCUAAUAAGGUGUUGCAAGGUGACACAGGACAAACUUUGUCCAAAGGAAAUUGAUCUGACAAGAACUUCUGGACUUGUCAGUUCUUAGGGCUGACUGGUCUAUCCUCUUUCUAUUGACUUUGGCUUACUAGACUCAAGCAGAAAGUGACAAGGGAAGAAAAGGAUACAAACAGAAGCAAGUUUCCAAGAACAAGGUUUACAUCAGGAAGAGCCAAUCAAAGAUCAUAUCUGGAGGACUGCUGCAAAGUUGUGAUAAAUGACCAAAUAGUAUUUUUAUAGAAGGUGGAAUGAAUGACAGACUAAAGAUUUCAGCUGAUUAAAGAAAUUAUGGAGUGCAUCAUUCUCAGUUUAUAUUGAACUGGGGUUCCUGAGAAAUUCCUCCUUAUAAAUUUACAUGGAAAUUAUAAUUUUUACUAGUUGAUUUCAGUUAAUUAGCCUACUGAAUAAUUUGAUUCUUGCACUCACUAAAAGAUCAUAGAGCACAAGAAUACCAUUUACAAAAUACUUUAAAAGUGGGGAUAUAAACACAAAUAAGGUCUUGUACCAACCUUGAAGGGAUUUUCAGUCUAGGUAAAAACCAUUUAAAAUAAAAAGAGGGCAUCCUUGUUUUAUUCCUGUAUUUAAGAGAAUGUGUCUUUCAGUGUUUAAAAUAAUGUUUACUGCUGGUUUAUGAUAAAUACUUUAAAAAAUCACAUUAUGGGAAUGUUUUCCAAUUUUCAUUUCCUAAGAGAUUUUUGUCAGGAAUGUAGUUGAAUUUUAUUAAGUGUCUUUUCUGUAUCUCUUGAUAUAAUCAUGUGAUUUUCAGCUUUAAUAAAUGUCUUAAUAUUGAA
Molecule: long non-coding RNA, 1439 nt
Filed under: Homo sapiens (human)
Lineage: Eukaryota; Metazoa; Chordata; Mammalia; Primates; Hominidae
Description: CCDC54 antisense RNA 1
Source: RNAcentral